Molecule: ribosomal RNA, 423 nt
Filed under: uncultured bacterium
Lineage: Bacteria
Description: bacterial SSU rRNA
Rfam family: Bacterial small subunit ribosomal RNA
Source: RNAcentral
AAGACCUUGCGCUUUUGGAGCGGCCGAUGCCUGAUUAGCUUGUUGGUAAGGUAAAAGCUUACCAAGGCUUCGAUCAGUAGCUGGUCUGAGAGGACGGCCAGCCACACUGGGACUGAGACACGGCCCAGACUCCUACGGGAGGCAGCAGUGGGGAAUUUUGGACAAUGGGGGCAACCCUGAUCCAGCCAUGCCGCGUGAGUGAAGAAGGCCUUCGGGUUGUAAAGCUCUUUCAGCCGGAACGAAACGGUUACGGUUAAUACCCGUGACUACUGACGGUACCGGAAGAAGAAGCACCGGCUAACUACGUGCCAGCAGCCGCGGUAAUACGUAGGGUGCAAGCGUUAAUCGGAAUUACUGGGCGUAAAGCGUGCGCAGGUGGUUUUGUAAGUCAGAUGUGAAAGCCCCGGGCUCAACCUGGGAACU